Molecule: ribosomal RNA, 497 nt
Filed under: uncultured bacterium
Lineage: Bacteria
Description: partial 16S ribosomal RNA
Rfam family: Bacterial small subunit ribosomal RNA
Source: RNAcentral
GAUGAACGCUGGCGGCGUGCCUAAUACAUGCAAGUCGAGCGAACAGACGAGGAGCUUGCUCCUCUGACGUUAGCGGCGGACGGGUGAGUAACACGUGGAUAACCUACCUAUAAGACUGGGAUAACUUCGGGAAACCGGAGCUAAUACCGGAUAAUAUAUUGAACCGCAUGGUUCAAUAGUGAAAGACGGUUUUGCUGUCACUUAUAGAUGGAUCCGCGCCGCAUUAGCUAGUUGGUAAGGUAACGGCUUACCAAGGCAACGAUGCGUAGCCGACCUGAGAGGGUGAUCGGCCACACUAGAGCUGGGACACGGUCCAGACUCCUACGGGAGGCAGCAGUAGGGAAUCUUCCGCAAUGGGCGAAAGCCUGACGGAGCAACGCCGCGUGAGUGAUGAAGGUCUUCGGAUCGUAAAACUCUGUUAUUAGGGAAGAACAAAUGUGUAAGUAACUAUGCACGUCUUGACGGUACCUAAUCAGAAAGCCACGGCUAACUACGUG